CUGUCCAUGAGAAAUCACUGAUAAGGCUGUAGUUUUGUCCUGGACCUGACACUGGUGGUGCAAAAGAAACUGAAUACUAAUGCAGAGAACUCUUCACACCCACAAACUCCGUGGUCAGCUAGUGUCUGGCUUUGUUUUUAACCCUUGAAGAAACGCAUGCUCAGGAAACUGAGGAGCUUUAUGAAGAAAUUUGAGCUGGUAACUGAGUGCUAAAGUCUUGUCUGAUGGCUGCUUAGCUGAGGGAGAAGAGAUUUGAUCGCUUGUGGAAUUCCCCCUGCCUCAGCCCACGUGGAUGGGCAGUGAGCAGCAUUCCCUCCUGGCUUGGCAGCUCUGGUCCAUACUCAACACAGUGACUUCAGUGCCUUUGUCAGCAGUGUCUGCUGGAGCACUGGAGGCUCACCACUGUCCCCUGGGAAUGUGAGACAGCAGUGGCUUAUAAAAGCAUAAUGCAUUCCCAGUGUGCUCCUGAGAGAAAGGAGUCCAGCUUUGCUCAGGUCCCGCUCUGUGGGAAGGGCUGUAGAAAAGAAAGCCCUUGGCAGCAAUGUCAAAUGAUAAGUCCCAUUGUGGUGUAAACAGGGUUGAGGUUUAGAAAUGAAAAAUUCAGUGGUGAAUCACAUGAACUCUCCUUCCCACUUACUGAAUACAUUACAAGUUUUUAGAAAAAUCUGCAUUAGUAAUACUAUAAAAAUCUGCUUUUAUUGGAUUAUGGAUUGCAUUGCAUAUCCUCAAUUGAAAAAAGGGAGGUUGUGCCCCCCCACAUGCUUGCCACUAAUAUAUCUUAUU
Zonotrichia albicollis (white-throated sparrow) is the source of this 783-nucleotide non-coding RNA. NCBI's taxonomy places the organism in Eukaryota, Metazoa, Chordata, Aves, Passeriformes, Passerellidae. The record is from RefSeq and is a predicted model, not a curated record.